GUUUUGGUUACUGAUGUGUACGAGUGAUUGCAGUGCUGUACGAGGCUACACCUUUUUGGUAUUCUCGGUUGUGCUUUAUGUGUUGUGGGUUCUACCACAAUUGUCCUACAUGCUCCACAUGAACGUCAGAUUGAAUCUGUGAGAGAAGUCUGGGACCUUGCCACUGAGCCAGCUUUUCUCUUAUACGCCGCACUGGUGAUAGCAAUCGUCUUCAUUCUAAUAUUUCAUUGUAUUCCACAAUAUGGACAGACGCAUAUAUUGUUCUACAUUGGUGUUUGUUCACUGGUUGGUUCAUUGUCGGUAAGUCUUGCUAACUUUUAGUGUGCCCUCUUCAGUUUGCUCCUCCUUCCAUCCUGCCUUCAUACAACCCUAAACUAUAUUGCAUCUUUUAUUCUAUUUUAAUAUAUACAAACCAAUGUUAUGUGCUGUGCACCUUAAAUGUGGUCGCUGUUACUACAUCUCUAGACUAGUCAUCAAGUGUUCCAGUGGAACGACGGUCAGUGAGAAUUUUCGGAGAAAACAUCAGGAUUCUGCAGUCACAUGACUUAAUCACUUUCUUAAGGCAGUUACUGCGACCACCUCGAUUUCCUUCCAAUUCCCGCGAUCUGGUAAGAGAGCUAUUACCUGUUUCUUCAUGGUAGAACUAUGGCUACAUUUAGGAACCACUGAAGUGGUCAAGUUGAAUGAUGUCUACAAUGUCUAAGGUACACAACUGAGGAUGAAGAUAAAAGCAGGAUCAUGCCUCAAUUGAACGAAAAUUACUGUAACUCACAACAAUUGCAUGGGCAUACAACAUCACUAGUGUUUCGGAAAUAGGAUCUAAUGAGCCCUAGUCAUCUUGAGUUUUGGCAUGCCCUUCUUCAUUUGGCGGGC
Sesamum indicum (sesame) is the source of this 873-nucleotide long non-coding RNA. RefSeq lists it as uncharacterized. The record is from RefSeq and is a predicted model, not a curated record. Lineage: Eukaryota; Viridiplantae; Streptophyta; Magnoliopsida; Lamiales; Pedaliaceae.